RNAcentral lists this microRNA precursor (93 nucleotides) under Phlebotomus papatasi. RNAcentral's name for it is "microRNA mir-186". The record is from RNAcentral. Lineage: Eukaryota; Metazoa; Arthropoda; Insecta; Diptera; Psychodidae.
AGAAGAUUAUUCCCAAAUGAAACCGUCCUUCGAACGAAAAGAACUUGUUUGUUCUUUUCAUUCGAAGGGCGGUUUCAUUUGGGAAUAAUCUUA